This 200-nucleotide long non-coding RNA is filed under the name Phoenix dactylifera (date palm). Its description in RNAcentral is "long non-coding RNA (PDAC_LNC021805)". Lineage: Eukaryota; Viridiplantae; Streptophyta; Magnoliopsida; Arecales; Arecaceae. The record is from RNAcentral.
UCUCCUCUUUUACCCCACUCAUAUACUAGCCCCCUCUGACUUAAGCAUCGGAGGGCCGGCGCCGGAGAUUCCGGCCACCGGCUUCUUGCAGGACUCUCCAGGAGGACGCCACCAGUUGACGCGCCGCCGCCCACCGUUCCAGCAGCGGAGCUCCUCCCCUCUCAGCUCGCGGCCGCCCCCGGGUCCAAUUUCCAGCAACA